Molecule: ribosomal RNA, 501 nt
Filed under: uncultured bacterium
Lineage: Bacteria
Description: bacterial SSU rRNA
Rfam family: Bacterial small subunit ribosomal RNA
Source: RNAcentral
AUUGAACGCUGGCGGCAGGCCUAACACAUGCAAGUCGAACGGUAGCAGGAAGUGCUUGCACUUCGCUGACGAGUGGCGGACGGGUGAGUAAUGCUUGGGAACUUGCCUUUAGGUGGGGGAUAACAGUUGGAAACGACUGCUAAUACCGCAUAAUGUCUACGGACCAAAGGGGGCUUCGGCUCUCGCCUUAAGAGAGGCCCAAGUGAGAUUAGCUAGUUGGUGGGGUAAAGGCCUACCAAGGCAACGAUCUCUAGCUGUUCUGAGAGGAAGAUCAGCCACACUGGGACUGAGACACGGCCCAGACUCCUACGGGAGGCAGCAGUGGGGAAUAUUGCACAAUGGGGGAAACCCUGAUGCAGCCAUGCCGCGUGUGUGAAGAAGGCCUUCGGGUUGUAAAGCACUUUCAGUUGUGAGGAAAGGUUGGUAGUUAAUACCUGCCAGCUGUGACGUUAACAACAGAAGAAGCACCGGCUAACUCCGUGCCAGCCGCCGCCGUAACAC